CCUACGGGCGGCAGCAGUGGGGAAUAUUGGACAAUGGGGGCAACCCUGAUCCAGCCAUGCCGCGUGUGUGAAGAAGGCCCUCGGGUUGUAAAGCACUUUCAGUGAGGAAGAACGCCUGGUGGUUAAUACCCAUCAGGAAAGACAUCACUCACAGAAGAAGCACCGGCUAACUCCGUGCCAGCAGCCGCGGUAAUACGGAGGGUGCGAGCGUUAAUCGGAAUUACUGGGCGUAAAGCGCGCGUAGGUGGCUUGAUAAGUCGGUUGUGAAAGCCCCGGGCUCAACCUGGGAACGGCAUCCGGAACUGUCAAGCUAGAGUGCAGGAGAGGAAGGUAGAAUUCCCGGUGUAGCGGUGAAAUGCGUAGAGAUCGGGAGGAAUACCAGUGGCGAAGGCGGCCUUCUGGACUGACACUGACACUGAGGUGCGAAAGCGUGGGUAGCAAACAGGAUUAGUACCCUAGUAGUC
This 464-nucleotide ribosomal RNA is filed under the name Vreelandella stevensii. Its description in RNAcentral is "partial 16S ribosomal RNA". It matches the Rfam family "Bacterial small subunit ribosomal RNA", at positions 338 to 795 of the family's 1533-position model. Lineage: Bacteria; Pseudomonadati; Pseudomonadota; Gammaproteobacteria; Oceanospirillales; Halomonadaceae. The record is from RNAcentral.